AGAGUUUGAUCCUGGCUCAGAAUGAACGCUGGCGGCGUGCUUAACACAUGCAAGUCGAACGAUGAAGCCUAGCUUGCUAGGUGGAUUAGUGGCGCACGGGUGAGUAAUAUAUAGGUAACGUGCCUCUUAGUCUGGGAUAGCCAUUGGAAACGAUGAUUAAUACUGGAUACUCCUUCUAACUCUAAUGUUAGUCGGGAAAGUUUUUCGCUAAGAGAUCGGCCUAUUUCCCAUCAGCUUGUUGGUAGUGUAAGAGACUACCAAGGCUAUGACGGGUAGCGGGUUUGAGAGGAUGAUCAGCCACACUGGGACUGAGACACGGCCCAGACUCCUACGGGAGGCAGCAGUGGGGAAUAUUGGACAAUGGGCGAAAGCCUGAUCCAGCAAUACCGCGUGUGUGAAGAAGGCCCGAGGGUUGUAAAGCACUUUCAAUUGGGAGGAAUACCUGCUGAGAUAAUAUCAGGCAGAUUGACAUUACCUUUAGAAGAAGCACCGGCUAACUCCGUGCCAGCAGCCGCGGUAAUACGGAGGGUGCAAGCGUUAAUCGGAAUUACUGGGCGUAAAGCGUACGUAGGCGGUUUGUUAAGUUAGAUGUGAAAGCCCCGGGCUUAACCUGGGAACUGCAUUUAAAACUGGCAAACUAGAGUUAAGUAGAGGAGAGUGGAAUUUCAGGUGUAGCGGUGAAAUGCGUAGAGAUCUGAAGGAACACCAGUGGCGAAGGCGACUCUCUGGACUUAAACUGACGCUGAGGUACGAAAGCGUGGGUAGCAAACGGGAUUAGAUACCCCGGUAGUCCACGCCCUAAACGAUGUUCACUAGUCGUCGGGAUGCUAGUCAUCUCGGUGAUGCACUUAACAGAUUAAGUGAACCGCCUGGGGAGUACGGUCGCAAGAUUAAAACUCAAAGGAAUAGACGGGGACCCGCACAAGUGGUGGAGCAUGUGGUUUAAUUCGAAGAUACGCGAAGAACCUUACCUAGCCUUGACAUUGAUUGAACGGACCAGAGAUGGACCGGUGCCCUUCGGGGAACAUGAAAACAGGUGCUGCACGGCUGUCGUCAGCUCGUGUCGUGAGAUGUUGGGUUAAGUCCCGCAACGAGCGCAACCCUCGUCCUUAGUUGCCAGCAGGUUAAGCUGGGCACUCUAGGGAGACUGCCUUCGUAAGGAGGAGGAAGGUGAGGACGACGUCAAGUCAUCAUGGCCCUUAUGGCUAGGGCUACACACGUGCUACAAUGGGGCGUACAGAGAGUUGCGAUACCGCGAGGUGGAGCUAAUCUCACAAAGCGUCUCUCAGUUCGGAUUGAAGUCUGCAACUCGACUUCAUGAAGCUGGAAUCACUAGUAAUCGUAGAUCAGCAAUGCUACGGUGAAUACGUUCCCGGGUCUUGUACUCACCGCCCGUCACACCAUGGGAGUUGAUUUCACCCGAAAUUGGGAAGCUAACCUUCGGGGGGCUACCACUUACGGUGGAAUUAGCGACUGGGGUGAAGUCGUAACAAGGUAACC
This 1500-nucleotide ribosomal RNA is filed under the name uncultured bacterium. Its description in RNAcentral is "bacterial SSU rRNA". It matches the Rfam family "Bacterial small subunit ribosomal RNA". The record is from RNAcentral.